AUUUUAUUUUUGUAAAAUAAGUUAAUUUUGUUUGUUUUUAAGGAAAUUUUAAAAGUUUGAUUGUUGAACUGGAUUAGUACCCAGGUAAUCAAAAUUUAUUAAUACGGGAGUAAAUUUUUAUUUAAACCGAAAAAAUAUUGACUGACUUUAGAUUUUUCUUUGGAAUAUGUGAGAUUUUGGAGAAUCCUCCUUUAUAGAUUGUUUUUAUUGGCACAUGUAUGAUUGUUUUUUUUUAUGUUAUUUGUGGUUUUAUUAACUUUUUAUGUUUUAUAACAAAUAUGUACUUGGUUUAUAAAUUUUUUUUUCAUGUGUUACUAUUUUUAGUUUUAUUUGGAUUUAAUUUUUAUUUUUUUUUGAAAUUGGAAAAAAAAGUAAUUUUUUAUUUUUAUGUUGGGAUGAAUUAAAAAAAUAAGGGGG
RNAcentral lists this ribosomal RNA (417 nucleotides) under Filarioidea sp. ex Amblyomma americanum. Its description in RNAcentral is "partial 12S ribosomal RNA". The record is from RNAcentral. Lineage: Eukaryota; Metazoa; Nematoda; Chromadorea; Rhabditida.